This 277-nucleotide small nuclear RNA is filed under the name Erinaceus europaeus (western European hedgehog). Its description in RNAcentral is "7SK RNA". It matches the Rfam family "7SK RNA". Rfam says of the family: 7SK was discovered as an abundant small nuclear RNA in the mid-70s but a possible function has only recently been suggested. Two independent studies have found that 7SK RNA binds the CDK9/cyclin T complex (known as elongation factor P-TEFb). P-TEFb activates transcription by phosphorylating the C-terminal domain of RNA polymerase II. The record is from Rfam by way of RNAcentral. Lineage: Eukaryota; Metazoa; Chordata; Mammalia; Eulipotyphla; Erinaceidae.
GGAUGUAAGGAUGAUCUGGCUGUGAUAUCUGUCACCCCAUUGAUGACCAGAGUUGAUUGGACUGACCUGGCUGGCUAGGUGGGUGUCCCCUUCGUCCUUCACAGCUCCAUGUGCGCCCCUUCUGAAGCUGCGUGCUGGCCUUCCCUGAGUAGAGACAGACCAGUCUUUGGUAGCUGCGCUCCCCUGCUAGAGCCUCCAAACAAGCUCGCAAGGUCCUAAACCACACUCCAGGUUCUAGCUGAUUUAAGUUCCAAUUACACUCCAUGUUUUAAUCUCU